Molecule: ribosomal RNA, 463 nt
Filed under: uncultured bacterium
Lineage: Bacteria
Description: bacterial SSU rRNA
Rfam family: Bacterial small subunit ribosomal RNA
Source: RNAcentral
UACGGAACGGCGAGCGGCGGGACAACGUGGCGGCGAGUGGACGGAACGGGUGAAGUAAUAUAGUACGGAACACUACCUAGAGGGUGGGGGAAUAACGUAGACGAAAGUUACGCUAAUACCGCAUACGCACUAAGGUGGAAAGUGGGGGAUUCGCAAGAACCUCAUGCUCAUGGAGUGGCCGAUAUCUGAUUAGCUAGUUGGUGAGGUAAAGGCUCACCAAGGCAACGAUCAGUAGCUGGUUUGAGAGAACGACCAGCCACACUGGAACUGAGACACGGUCCAGACUCCUACGGGAGGCAGCAGUGGGGAAUUUUGGACAAUGGGGGCAACCCUGAUCCAGCAAUGCCGCGUGAGUGAAGAAGGCCUUCGGGUUGUAAAGCUCUUUUGUCAGGGAAGAAACGGUGAGAGCUAAUAUCUCUUGCUAAUGACGGUACCUGAAGAAUAAGCACCGGCUAACUACGUG